This 775-nucleotide ribosomal RNA is filed under the name uncultured Neocallimastigales. RNAcentral's name for it is "partial large subunit ribosomal RNA". It matches the Rfam family "Eukaryotic large subunit ribosomal RNA", at positions 26 to 628 of the family's 3401-position model. The record is from RNAcentral. Lineage: Eukaryota; Fungi; Neocallimastigomycota; Neocallimastigomycetes; Neocallimastigales.
CGCAUCUGUGCAUGCAGCAUAUCAAUAAGCGGAGGAAAAGAAACUAACAAGGAUUCCCCUAGUAACGGCGAGUGAAGCGGGAAGAGCUCAAAUUUGAAAUCUUAAAGGGUUUCCCUUUACGAAUUGUAGUUUAAAGAAGUGUUUUCUGUUGAGGUUUUGGUAAAAGUUCUUUGGAAUAGGACAUCAUAGAGGGUGAGAAUCCCGUAUUUGACCUUUACUUUCAACUUUGUGAUACACUUUCAAAGAGUCGGAUUGUUUGGGAAUGCAGUCCAAAAUGGGUGGUAAAUUUCAUCUAAAGCUAAAUAUUGGCGAGAGACCGAUAGCGAACAAGUACCGUGAGGGAAAGAUGAAAAGAACUUUGAAAAGAGAGUUAAACAGUACGUGAAAUUGUCAAAAGGGAAGCGUUUGACACCAGUGUUGUUUUUCUGAAAAUCAAUUAAAGAACUGUUUAUGCUAAGCUGUUUAGACUUUAUCAGCUAUCUGUUUAGUUUUGAGCUUUUCUUUAAUGCACUUUUCAGUUAACAAGUCAACAUCAAUUUCUUUUGCUGUAAAAAAGCUUGAGGAAGGUGGCUUGAGAUUCGUCUUAAGUGUUUAUAGCCUCUUGCCUAUGCAGUCGGAGAGAUUGAGGUCUGCAGCGUAGAUCCCUUCGGGGCUAAAUGCAUUUGUGCUAAGUUAUAGCAUUUUAUAGACAACUUGUUGACUAUGAUUUGUCUUGUAGCUUACUCGCUUAUGUUAUUUUACCUACGCUUAGGAUGUUGAGUCGUAGAGCACGCAG